AGUGAACGCUGGCGGUAGGCCUAACACAUGCAAGUCGAACGGCAGCACAGUAAGAGCUUGCUCUUACGGGUGGCGAGUGGCGGACGGGUGAGGAAUACAUCGGAAUCUACUUUUUCGUGGGGGAUACCGUAGGGAAACUUACGCUAAUACCGCAUACGACCUACGGGUGAAAGCAGGGGAUCUUCGGACCUUGCGCGAUUGAAUGAGCCGAUGUCGGAUUAGCUAGUUGGCGGGGUAAAGGCCCACAAAGGCGACGAUCCGUAGCUGGUCUGAGAGGAUGAUCAGCCACACUGGAACGGAGACACGGUCCAGACUCCUACGGGAGGCGGCAGUGGGGAAUAUUGGACAAUGAGCGCAAGCCUGAUCCAGCCAUACCGCGUGGGUGAAGAAGGCCUUCGGGUGGUAAAGCCCUUUUGUUGGGAAAGAAAAGCAGCAGGUUAAUACCCCGCUGUUCUGACGGUACCCAAAGAAUAAGCACCGGCUAACUUCGUG
Molecule: ribosomal RNA, 492 nt
Filed under: uncultured bacterium
Lineage: Bacteria
Description: partial 16S ribosomal RNA
Rfam family: Bacterial small subunit ribosomal RNA
Source: RNAcentral